RNAcentral lists this unclassified non-coding RNA (212 nucleotides) under plant metagenome. Its description in RNAcentral is "partial contains small subunit ribosomal RNA and internal transcribed spacer 1". The stretch from base 1 to 46 matches the Rfam family "Eukaryotic small subunit ribosomal RNA", at positions 1786 to 1831 of the family's 1831-position model. The record is from RNAcentral.
AAGUCGUAACAAGGUUUCCGUAGGUGAACCUGCGGAAGGAUCAGUAGAGAAAACUGGGUUGUCUCCUCGGAGCGCCCGACCUACCCACACACACCAGUGAACCGUUUAUUUCGAUGUCCCGUCGGUUUCGACCGUGAAACGUCGGUCCGCGGGCGUCGGCCUUACAAAAUCUUUAUAGUGUAACGAAUGUAAUCUAUUUUAACAAAAUAAAA